AAUGAACGCUGGCGGCGUGGAUUAGGCAUGCAAGUCGUACGCGAAAGAGGGAGCAAUCCCUUGAGUAGAGUGGCGAACGGGUGAGUAACGCGUGAGAAACCUGCCUUUGACAGGGGGAUAACACUCCCAACGGGGUGCUAAUACCGCAUGAGACCACGGGAUCGCAUGAUCCUGAGGUCAAAGAUGGCCUCUAUUUAUAAGCUAUCGGUCGAAGAUGGUCUCGCGUCCCAUUAGCUUGUUGGCGGUGUAAAAGACCACCAAGGCGACGAUGGGUAGCUGGUCUGAGAGGAUGGUCAGCCACACUGGGACUGAGAUACGGCCCAGACUCCUACGGGAGGCAGCAGUCGAGAGGCUUCGGCAAUGGGGGAAACCCUGACCGAGCGACGCCGCGUGGAGGAUGAAGGCCCUUGGGUUGUAAACUCCUUUUAUUCGGGAAGAAGUGCGAUCAGGUGAAUAAUCUGGUCGUUUGACGGUACCGGAUGAAUAAGCUCCGGCUAACUCCG
Molecule: ribosomal RNA, 503 nt
Filed under: uncultured bacterium
Lineage: Bacteria
Description: bacterial SSU rRNA
Rfam family: Bacterial small subunit ribosomal RNA
Source: RNAcentral